Molecule: ribosomal RNA, 461 nt
Filed under: uncultured bacterium
Lineage: Bacteria
Description: bacterial SSU rRNA
Rfam family: Bacterial small subunit ribosomal RNA
Source: RNAcentral
CGGAGGCAGCAGUGGGGAAUCUUCCGCAAUGGACGAAAGUCUGACGGAGCAACGCCGCGUGAGUGAAGAAGGCCUUCGGGUUGUAAAGCUCUGUUAUUAGGGACGAACGUUCUCUAUGUGAAUAAUGUAGGGAAGUGACGGUACCUAAGGAGGAAGCCACGGCUAACUACGUGCCAGCAGCCGCGGUAAUACGUAGGUGGCAAGCGUUGUCCGGAAUUAUUGGGCGUAAAGAGCGCGUAGGUGGGACCAUAAGUCUUAUGUAAAAGUGCGGGGCUCAACCCCGUAAAGCGUGAGAAACUGUGGUUCUUGAGUGCAGGAGAGGAAAGCGGAAUUCCCAGUGUAGCGGUGAAAUGCGUAGAUAUUGGGAGGAACACCAGUGGCGAAGGCGGCUUUCUGGACUGUGUCUGACACUGAGGCGCGAAAGCUAGGGGAGCGAACGGGAUUAGAUACCCUAGUAGUCC